This 1330-nucleotide long non-coding RNA is filed under the name Phasianus colchicus (ring-necked pheasant). Its description in RNAcentral is "lncRNA (ENSPCLG00000020843.1)". Lineage: Eukaryota; Metazoa; Chordata; Aves; Galliformes; Phasianidae. The record is from RNAcentral.
UAAAAUAAAAGCACAAAUGCUUCCUUUUUUUCUUCAAAUUUGACAGCUUAAGUUUAUAUUAAGCAUAGCAUCACCUGGAUGCAUACUGCAUGAAAAUAUUAGACUAUUCAGAAUGAGUUAUUAACCCAAAGCUUUUACAAUUUCUCAGAUGCCCUGAAGUGAUUCUGUAGGCUACUGUGGGGUUAUGAAUAUGAGAGAGAACAGGGGCUUCCAGUAAACGUCUAAUAGGCUGCAGUAUCAGCAGAUGUCAUUGUUUGGCCACUAUUUUCAAUAAGAAGGUGUUCUUUAUUGUGAAGUGUUGUGUUGAUGUCUAACCAUAUUGCAAGAAAAAAGUGCUGUGUUUGUGUACUUUAGGUUACCUUCUCAUGUCUAAAGUAACUGCAUAGCUGGGUUUGUGGUUUAAAUAUAGUCUGUAUACUUGUAAGCCAGCUAGCUUUGGUUCACAUUUGGUGCAUGUUUUUUAACAGCGACAUUUGAGAUGUCAAAGCUUAAUCGUGUCUCAGUGCUGUCUGAAGAGCUUCUGGUUUCCUUACAUCUUAACAAGACUGUUUGGAACAGACAGUUUGCUGAAAACUGAAGGAAUGAACUAUAGAUAUGGUCCUUCACUUAAAUAUUUGAUCAACAUUGGUGGUAGGUGACAUAAAAGUAACAAAUAUAGAGACAGCGUGUGCCAAAAUAAAAAGCAGUUUGUCUUUUGUUCUUUGAUUUGCAUAAAUUGAAUGAUUAACUGAAGAGCAUGAAGGCAUUUUAUGUCUUUAAGACAGCUGCCUUUAAAUUCAGUGGACUUCAAAUCAUAUUCUUAGUGACAUAUUAAUGAUUGUCAGAAGGUGUAGUAGAUUUUGAUCCUGAUUCUUUUUUCUAUUGUAGCUUUAGAAUGCCAGAAGAUAUGGUUUGCUCCAUAUAAAGAAGGGGACCAUGAUCUGAAUAGUUUGAGAAGAACUUUUUGUCCUGCUGCUUUUACUCUCUCAGUAUUGUUCUGUGUCUUGGAACUGCAGGUUUUCCACAAAAGAAAAUUUGGUUGUGUCAAGGUAAGUGAACAAAACUAUAUUAGAUUGCAAACAUUCUUGUGUUUAAAAAGGUUGCUUUUAUCUUUGACGCUCUGUGGUGCUAUUGUCUGCUUGUGUGUGUAUGUAUGCUUCAUGGUGAACGUCUUCACCUGAGGAAUUAUUCAGCUAAAGCAUGAACAAGACAGCAAAAAAGCUGCUUAACUAUAAACCUACCUUCGUAAAAGAGAUGCAUCAGUGCUAUCAACAAAUAUUUCACCAAGAUCUCAGAAGGUAAACAUUCAGUAAACAGAAGUUAUGUCAUUACUUCAAUAGGACCUAUUUCC